RNAcentral lists this ribosomal RNA (570 nucleotides) under uncultured bacterium. RNAcentral describes it as "partial 16S ribosomal RNA". It matches the Rfam family "Bacterial small subunit ribosomal RNA", at positions 357 to 919 of the family's 1533-position model. The record is from RNAcentral.
UGGGAAUUUGGACAAUGGCGAAAGCCUGAUCCAGCAAUGCCGCGUGUGUGAAGAAGGCCUUCGGGUUGUAAAGCACUUUUGUCCGGAAAGAAAUCCUUGGCUCUAAUACAGUCGGGGGAUGACGGUACCGGAAGAAUAAGCACCGGCUAACUACGUGCCAGCAGCCGCGGUAAUACGUAGGGUGCAAGCGUUAAUCGGAAUUACUGGGCGUAAAGCGUGCGCAGGCGGUUUUGCUAAGACCGAUGUGAAAUCCCCGGGCUCAACCUGGGAACUGCAUUGGUGACUGGCAGGCUAGAGUAUGGCAGAGGGGGGUAGAAUUCCACGUGUAGCAGUGAAAUGCGUAGAGAUGUGGAGGAAUACCGAUGGCGAAGGCAGCCCCCUGGGCCAAUACUGACGCUCAUGCACGAAAGCGUGGGGAGCAAACAGGAUUAGAUACCCUGGUAGUCCACGCCCUAAACGAUGCCAACUAGUUGUUGGGGAUUCAUUUUCCUUAGUAACGUAGCUAACGCGUGAAGUUGACCGCCUGGGGAGUACGGUCGCAAGAUUAAAACUCAAAUGAAUUGACGGGGU